GGUGGUUCAGUGGUAGAGUGCUUGCCUUGCAUGCAUGAGAGCUGGGGUUCAAUUCCUCAGCACCA
Molecule: transfer RNA, 65 nt
Filed under: Dipodomys ordii (Ord's kangaroo rat)
Lineage: Eukaryota; Metazoa; Chordata; Mammalia; Rodentia; Heteromyidae
Rfam family: tRNA
About the family: Transfer RNA (tRNA) molecules are approximately 80 nucleotides in length. Their secondary structure includes four short double-helical elements and three loops (D, anti-codon, and T loops). Further hydrogen bonds mediate the characteristic L-shaped molecular structure. tRNAs have two regions of fundamental functional importance: the anti-codon, which is responsible for specific mRNA codon recognition, and the 3' end, to which the tRNAs corresponding amino acid is attached (by aminoacyl-tRNA synthetases). tRNAs cope with the degeneracy of the genetic code in two manners: having more than one tRNA (with a specific anti-codon) for a particular amino acid; and 'wobble' base-pairing, i.e. permitting non-standard base-pairing at the 3rd anti-codon position.
Source: Rfam by way of RNAcentral